This 400-nucleotide ribosomal RNA is filed under the name uncultured bacterium. Its description in RNAcentral is "bacterial SSU rRNA". It matches the Rfam family "Bacterial small subunit ribosomal RNA", at positions 29 to 432 of the family's 1533-position model. The record is from RNAcentral.
ACAAACGCUGGCGGCGUGCAUAAAACAUGCAAGUCGGACGAGCCAAUCCCCGCAAGGGGAAAGGCUAGUGGCGAACGGCUGAGUAACACGUAGGUGAUCUGCCCUGAAGUGGGGGAUAACGACUCGAAAGAGUCGCUAAUACCGCAUGUGACCACCGAUCCGUUUUCGGUGCUCAAAGUCGUAAGACGCUUUAGGAGGAGCCUGCGGCGGAUUAGCUAGUUGGUGAGGUAAUGGCCCACCAAGGCUUCGAUCCGUAGCUGGUCUGAGAGGAUGGCCAGCCAGACUGGGACUGAGACACGGCCCAGACUCCUACGGGAGGCAGCAGUUAGGAAUUUUGCGCAAUGGGGGAAACCCUGACGCAGCCACGCCGCGUGCGGGAUGAAGGCCUCGGUCGUAACCG